Molecule: RNA transcript, 1134 nt
Organism: Frankliniella occidentalis (western flower thrips)
Lineage: Eukaryota; Metazoa; Arthropoda; Insecta; Thysanoptera; Thripidae
Exons: 4
Source: RefSeq, a predicted model, not a curated record
CUGUCCAGCUCCAGCCCGACGCGCAGUCUUCUUUCGACUCUCGCCUGCCUUGCACCGUCGCUGCCCCGCACACACACGCACCCCCUAUCUCUCUGUUGUUCAUUUCCCAUGUUGUACUAAAAACUUAUGUGUCAAUGAGGAAGAAAGUCGUCGCGUUUAAUGUCACUGAGAAAUUUCUCCCCACUGUUCGGUUGACCAAAAAUUUGAGCACCAAAAAGGGCAGCCGUCGAGGUAACGCAGGAAACCGUCUGGAAUUUACAGUGCUAACCCAGCUCCAGCACGUCCCGUAGAUUCGCACGCCCAGCAUUCUCCGGACGGUUACUAGUGGUCACAUUUACGUUCACACGCUUCACUACCCGUCACCAUGGUUCAGGAAGUCCAGAAGUCCAGCUGCUUCGCCGUCCGCGUCAGCGAGACGAGAGACCAGGCUGCCAAGCGCGCGGGGUACGACGCGGUGCGCCGCGCCGAGGCCGAGCGCCAGCAGCGCCAGCAGCUCGAGAAGGAGAAGCAGCAGGCGAAGAAGGAUCACGGCUCCUGGGGCCCCGUGUUCAAGAACCGCCAGCACUUUAACUCGCUCCACAUGUGCUAGGACACGGCAGCCCCCCGACGCAAAACAUUUAAAAAAAAAAAAAUAUUGUUUGUGUUAAAAUAAGAAAAACGAUGUUGCGAAAAGGUAAAGCUGCAUCGGACGACUUUAUUAUGAUAUCUUGUUACAGCCCCAACGACUGAAGUUUUUGUGUUAUUUGAUUAACUUUUUACAUUUGACUGAUUCUUUCCUGUGCCAUGUGAAACCAGAGAUUAUUUAAUUGUUUUUGAACAAGCUUCUUUCAAUGCUAAGGUUUUAUGAUCCGAUUUGAGCGCAAAGAAAAUCCUCAUAAUUUAUACAAAAAAAAGGGAUUGGUGUAAAAAUGUCAAACCGCUUUCGUUGCCUUCAAAAUUAAGUCCUUUUCGUGACCUUUUUUUUGCAUUCUUUAAUUUUGUAUUUUAAAAUUGUGAAUGUGAAUGUGACCACUAGUCACGCUGGUUCCCGCCGGGAACCAAUAAUUAUGCUAUUGUUAACGUUUAUCGCUUUUGGUGUGGGUCACUCUGCUUGUUCGCAUUUUGAAUUCGAAUAAAACAUGUUUGAAACUGGAA